Molecule: long non-coding RNA, 471 nt
Organism: Ctenopharyngodon idella (grass carp)
Lineage: Eukaryota; Metazoa; Chordata; Actinopteri; Cypriniformes; Xenocyprididae
Exons: 3
Source: RefSeq, a predicted model, not a curated record
GUCUGAAAGAAAAACAGCCAUAAAUGCCUUUUUGAAGGUUUGCCAGUCAGUUAGCUUAACCUUAUCUGCUUUCCACCAGCUCUGAGCGGGUCCCUUCAGGACCGUGCUAGGGUUCUGAUGAGCUCGACGCUGGGAAGGGGCCUGAUCUCCAGGAAGUUUUCACACUGCUCGAUGAAGUUUAACACAUCUGCUGUCUCGCAGGAGUCGCGAAAGAGGGGAACUCAAGGCGGAUGGGAAGCCGAGCACAGAAUGAGGAUGAACCAGCCAUAACUGAGGAGAUACUGGCACUGGGGUCUGUGGAUAAUGGACAGCAGAAAUGUGGGAGGAAGCUGGGACUUCAAAAUAAUCUUCCAAGCUAGCGUCCAUGGCCUGCCUGAAACUGGUUUCCUGGUUUAAUGUACUGUCCAUUGACUGUUUGAAAUCAUGUUCCAAACUUUUUGAUUCAGAGCCAAUAAAUCCACUUUUACCUGG